Molecule: ribosomal RNA, 253 nt
Filed under: uncultured bacterium
Lineage: Bacteria
Description: partial 16S ribosomal RNA
Rfam family: Bacterial small subunit ribosomal RNA
Source: RNAcentral
UACGUAGGGUUCAAGCGUUAAUCGGAAUUACUGGGCGUAAAGCGUGCGCAGGCGGUUUUGUAAGUCUGUCGUGAAAGCCCCGGGCUCAACCUGGGAAUUGCGAUGGAGACUGCAAGGCUUGAAUCUGGCAGAGGGGGGUAGAAUUCUACGUGUAGCAGUGAAAUGCGUAGAGAUGUGGAGGAACACCGAUGGCGAAGGCAGCCCCCUGGGUCAAGAUUGACGCUCAUGCACGAAAGCGUGGGGAGCAAACAGG